UACGUAGGGUGCAAGCGUUGUCCGGAAUUAUUGGGCGUAAAGAGCUCGUAGGCGGUUCGUCGCGUCGGCUGUGAAAACCUGAGGCUCAACCUCAGGCCUGCAGUCGAUACGGGCGGACUUGAGUACUGCAGGGGAGACUGGAGUUCCUGGUGUAGCGGUGAAAUGCGCAGAUAUCAGGAGGAACACCGGUGGCGAAGGCGGGUCUCUGGGCAGUAACUGACGCUGAGGAGCGAAAGCGUGGGGAGCGAACAGG
RNAcentral lists this ribosomal RNA (253 nucleotides) under uncultured bacterium. RNAcentral describes it as "partial 16S ribosomal RNA". It matches the Rfam family "Bacterial small subunit ribosomal RNA", at positions 524 to 776 of the family's 1533-position model. The record is from RNAcentral.